AGUAGUGUUGUUAAAUGUGGGAAGUAGUGAGCAUUGUGGAAGAAUACAAGUGAGAUAUCUUAGGGUUGACAGAUAGUUGACAGGGUGUUCAAUAUGGCGAUGACAGUGUGAACAAUAUGGCAAGCAAAACCGAACGGCCCGAAGCUGCAAAACUACGACCCGAAUGAAAUAAUUCGCGAAAAAAUAACGGGAAAUGCCAGGGUUCCGAGGUGCUGUUUGGUGACCAGGGUUUUGUGCAGCUCCGAAAAAAGAUGAAACAGGGUUCUGUAUUUAUUGGAAUUAC
Molecule: long non-coding RNA, 283 nt
Organism: Rhagoletis zephyria (snowberry fruit fly)
Lineage: Eukaryota; Metazoa; Arthropoda; Insecta; Diptera; Tephritidae
Source: RefSeq, a predicted model, not a curated record